AACGAACGCUGGCGGCAGGCUUAACACAUGCAAGUCGAACGGGCGUAGCAAUACGUCAGUGGCAGACGGGUGAGUAACACGUGGGAAUAUCCCUUUCAGCUCGGAAUAACUCAGGGAAACUUGAGCUAAUACCGGAUACGUCCUUCGGGAGAAAGAUUUAUCGCUGAGAGAUUAGCCCGCGUCUGAUUAGCUAGUUGGUGAGGUAAUGGCUCACCAAGGCGACGAUCAGUAGCUGGUCUGAGAGGACGAUCAGCCACACUGGGACUGAGACACGGCCCAGACUCCUACGGGAGGCAGCAGUGGGGAAUAUUGGACAAUGGGGGAAACCCUGAUCCAGCCAUGCCGCGUGAGUGAUGAAGGCCUUAGGGUUGUAAAGCUCUUUUGCCAGGGAAGAUAAUGACUGUACCUGGAGAAUAAGCCCCGGCUAACUUCGUGCCAGCAGCCGCAGUAA
This 451-nucleotide ribosomal RNA is filed under the name uncultured bacterium. RNAcentral describes it as "partial 16S ribosomal RNA". It matches the Rfam family "Bacterial small subunit ribosomal RNA", at positions 29 to 523 of the family's 1533-position model. The record is from RNAcentral.